RNAcentral lists this ribosomal RNA (468 nucleotides) under uncultured bacterium. Its description in RNAcentral is "partial 16S ribosomal RNA". It matches the Rfam family "Bacterial small subunit ribosomal RNA", at positions 28 to 507 of the family's 1533-position model. The record is from RNAcentral.
GACGAACGCUGGCGGCGUGCUUAACACAUGCAAGUCGAACGGAAAGGCCCUGCUUUUGUUGGGUGCUCGAGUGGCGCGCGGGGGAGAAACACGUGUGUAACCUGCCCUUGACUUUCGGAUAUCUUCAGGAAACUGGGGAUAAUACCGGAUAUGAGCUCUUGCUCCGCGGGGGGGGUUGGGAAGUUUCGGCGGUUGGGGAAGUAGUCGCGGCUUAUGAGCUUGUUGGUCGGGUAGUGGCUUACGAAGGGUUUGACGGGUAGGCGGCCUGGGAGGGUGGACGGCCACAUGGCGCCUACGAUACGGCCCAGUAUGCUAGGGGAGGCAGCAGUGGGGAGCCUGACACAAUGGGCGGAAGCCAGAUGCGGCGAUGCCGGGUGCGGGAUGAUGGCCUUCGGGUUGUAAACAGCUUUCGACUUUGACGAAGCGUUAGUGACGGUAAUGGGUAAAGAAGCACCGGCUAACUACGUG